GAUGAACGCUGGCGGCGUGCUUAACACAUGCAAGUCGAACGGAAAGGCUCCUGCUUGCAGGGGUACUCGAGUGGCGAACGGGUGAGUAACACGUGGGUGAUCUGCCCUGCACUUCGGGAUAAGCCUGGGAAACUGGGUCUAAUACCGGAUAGGACGAUGGUUUGGAUGCCAUUGUGGAAAGUUUUUUCGGUGUGGGAUCAGAUCGCGGCCUAUCAGCUUGUUCGUGGGGUAAUGGCCUACCAAGGCGUCGACGGGUAGCCGGCCUGAGAGGGUGUACGGCCACAUUGGGACUGAGAUACGGCCCAGACUCCUACGGGAGGCAGCAGUGGGGAAUAUUGCACAAUGGGCGCAAGCCUGAUGCAGCGACGCCGCGUGGGGGAUGACGGCCUUCGGGUUGUAAACUCCUUUCGCUAGGGACGAAGCGCAAGUGACGGUACCUGGAGAAGAAGCACCGGCUAACUACGUG
RNAcentral lists this ribosomal RNA (466 nucleotides) under uncultured bacterium. RNAcentral's name for it is "partial 16S ribosomal RNA". It matches the Rfam family "Bacterial small subunit ribosomal RNA", at positions 28 to 507 of the family's 1533-position model. The record is from RNAcentral.